UACGUAGGGUCCGAGCGUUGUCCGGAAUUAUUGGGCGUAAAGAGCUCGUAGGCGGUUUGUCGCGUCUGCUGUGAAAUCCCGAGGCUCAACCUCGGACUUGCAGUGGGUACGGGCAGACUAGAGUGUGGUAGGGGAGACUGGAAUUCCUGGUGUAGCGGUGGAAUGCGCAGAUAUCAGGAGGAACACCGAUGGCGAAGGCAGGUCUCUGGGCCAUUACUGACACUGAGAAGCGAAAGCAUGGGGAGCGAACAGG
RNAcentral lists this ribosomal RNA (253 nucleotides) under uncultured bacterium. RNAcentral describes it as "partial 16S ribosomal RNA". It matches the Rfam family "Bacterial small subunit ribosomal RNA", at positions 524 to 776 of the family's 1533-position model. The record is from RNAcentral.